Molecule: ribosomal RNA, 760 nt
Filed under: Marinobacter sp.
Lineage: Bacteria; Pseudomonadati; Pseudomonadota; Gammaproteobacteria; Pseudomonadales; Marinobacteraceae
Description: bacterial SSU rRNA
Rfam family: Bacterial small subunit ribosomal RNA
Source: RNAcentral
GAGGCGAGCUACCAGCAGUGAGCGGUACAGGGGUAGCUUGCUACCCGCUGACGAGCGGCGGACGGGUGAGUAAUGCAUAGGAAACUGCCCAGUAGUGGGGGAUAGCCCGGGGAAACCCGGAUUAAUACCGCAUACGUCCUUCGGGAGAAAGCAGGGGAUCUUCGGACCUUGCGCUAUUGGAUGUGCCUAUGUCGGAUUAGCUGGUUGGUGAGGUAAUGGCUCACCAAGGCGACGAUCCGUAGCUGGUCUGAGAGGAUGAUCAGCCACAUCGGGACUGAGACACGGCCCGAACUCCUACGGGAGGCAGCAGUGGGGAAUAUUGGACAAUGGGGGCAACCCUGAUCCAGCCAUGCCGCGUGUGUGAAGAAGGCUUUCGGGUUGUAAAGCACUUUCAGUGAGGAGGAAAAGUUAGUCCUUAAUACGGGCUAGCCUUGACGUUACUCACAGAAGAAGCACCGGCUAACUCCGUGCCAGCAGCCGCGGUAAUACGGAGGGUGCAAGCGUUAAUCGGAAUUACUGGGCGUAAAGCGCGCGUAGGUGGUUUGAUAAGCGAGAUGUGAAAGCCCCGGGCUUAACCUGGGAACGGCAUUUCGAACUGUCAGGCUAGAGUGUGGUAGAGGGUAGUGGAAUUUCCUGUGUAGCGGUGAAAUGCGUAGAUAUAGGAAGGAACACCAGUGGCGAAGGCGGCUACCUGGACCAACACUGACACUGAGGUGCGAAAGCGUGGGGAGCAAACAGGAUUAGAUACCCCUGGUAGUCA